GAUGAACGCUGGCUACAGGCUUAACACAUGCAAGUCGAGGGGAAACGACGGGGAAGCUUGCUUCCCCGGGCGUCGACCGGCGCACGGGUGAGUAACGCGUAUCCAACCUGCCUCUGACUGAGGGAUAACCCGUCGAAAGUCGGCCUAAUACCUCAUGGCAUCGUCUGCGGGCAUCCAACGACGAUUAAAGAUUUCAUCGGUCAGAGAUGGGGAUGCGUCUGAUUAGCUUGUUGGCGGGGUAACGGCCCACCAAGGCGACGAUCAGUAGGGGUUCUGAGAGGAAGGUCCCCCACAUUGGAACUGAGACACGGUCCAAACUCCUACGGGAGGCAGCAGUGAGGAAGAUUGGUCAAGGGGCGAGAGCCUGAACCAGCCAAGUAGCGUGCAGGAGGACGGCCCUAUGGGUUGUAAACUGCUUUUAUGCGGGGAUAAAGUGAGGGACGUGUCCUUCAUUGCAGGUACCGCAUGAAUAAGGACCGGCUAAUUCCGUG
Molecule: ribosomal RNA, 491 nt
Filed under: uncultured bacterium
Lineage: Bacteria
Description: partial 16S ribosomal RNA
Rfam family: Bacterial small subunit ribosomal RNA
Source: RNAcentral